AAGUCGUAACAAGGUUUCCGUAGGUGAACCUGCGGAAGGAUCAUUACCAAAACAAAAAAACCAUAGUGAUUCAUGCGUGGUGGGCUUUGCAUGUGCAAACAGAAGAAGCCCAUUACGGAAUUUGAGAACAAUGUUGACUAGUAUGUAAAUCAAUAUUGAUGACAACUUUUAACAAUGGAUCUCUAGGCUCUC
RNAcentral lists this unclassified non-coding RNA (192 nucleotides) under fungal sp. RNAcentral's name for it is "partial internal transcribed spacer region". The stretch from base 1 to 46 matches the Rfam family "Eukaryotic small subunit ribosomal RNA", at positions 1786 to 1831 of the family's 1831-position model. The record is from RNAcentral. Lineage: Eukaryota; Fungi.